CGUUCAGUGUCUAUUUUGUUGGUUUCUAGGACCAUCGUAAUGAUUAAUAGGGACGGACGGGGGUAUCAGUAUUCGGUUGUCAGAGGUGAAAUUCUUGGAUUUACUGAAGACUAACUACUGCGAAAGCAUGUACCGAGCACGUUUUCAUUAAUCAAGAACGAAAGUUAGGGGAUCGAAGAUGAUCAGAUACCGUCGUAGUCUUAACCAUAAACUAUGCCGACUAGGGAUCGGGUGUUGUUCUUUUAUUGACGCACUCGGCACCUUACGAGAAAUCAAAGUCUUUGGGUUCGGGGGGGAGUAUGGUCGCAAGGCUGAAACUUAAAGGAAUUGACGGAAGGGCACCACCAGGAGUGGAGCCUGCGGCUUAAUUUGACUCAACACGGGGAAACUCACCAGGUCCAGACACAAUAUGGAUCGACAGAUUGAGAGCUCUC
Molecule: ribosomal RNA, 434 nt
Filed under: uncultured Candida
Lineage: Eukaryota; Fungi; Ascomycota; Saccharomycetes; Saccharomycetales
Description: SSU rRNA
Rfam family: Eukaryotic small subunit ribosomal RNA
Source: RNAcentral